AGUCGAACGAAGCUUGACGGAUGAUUUCUUCGGAAUGAAACCAGAUAUGACUUAGUGGCGGACGGGUGAGUAACACGUGAGCAACCUGCCUUUCAGAGGGGGAUAACGGCUGGAAACGGUCGCUAAUACCGCAUGACGUGUUCGGAUGGCAUCAUCUGAACAUCAAAGAUUUAUCGCUGAAAGAUGGGCUCGCGUCUGAUUAGAUAGUUGGUGGGGUAACGGCCUACCAAGUCUACGAUCAGUAGCCGGACUGAGAGGUUGAACGGCCACAUUGGGACUGAGAUACGGCCCAGACUCCUACGGGAGGCAGCAGUGGGGAAUAUUGCACAAUGGGGGAAACCCUGAUGCAGCAACGCCGCGUGAAGGAUGACGGUUUUCGGAUUGUAAACUUCUUUUCUUAGUGACGAAGACAGUGACGGUAGCUAAGGAAUAAGCAUCGGCUAACUACGUGCCAGCAGCCGCGGUAAUACGUAGGAUGCAAGCGUUAUCCGGAUUUACUGGGUGUAAAGGGAGCGCAGGCGGGACUGCAAGUUGGAUGUGAAAUACCGUGGCUUAACCACGGAACUGCAUCCAAAACUGUAGUUCUUGAGUGAAGUAGAGGCAAGCGGAAUUCCGAGUGUAGCGGUGAAAUGCGUAGAUAUUCGGAGGAACACCAGUGGCGAAGGCGGCUUGCUGGGCUUUAACUGACGCUGAGGCUCGAAAGUGUGGGGAGCAAACAGGAUUAGAUACCCUGGUAGUCCACACUGUAAACGAUGAUAGCUAGGUGUGGGGGG
This 773-nucleotide ribosomal RNA is filed under the name uncultured bacterium. Its description in RNAcentral is "bacterial SSU rRNA". It matches the Rfam family "Bacterial small subunit ribosomal RNA", at positions 60 to 829 of the family's 1533-position model. The record is from RNAcentral.